GGUAUUUUGACUAUACGAAGGUAUUGAAAUAAGAUUUUAAAUGAGUGCUAAGAGAAUGAUUAAACAAUUAAAAGCUUUCUUUAAUUGAAUAAUUGAAUUUAAUUUUUUAGUGCAAAAGCAAAAAUAAAAAUUAGGGACAAGAAGACCCUAUGAAUUUUUUAUUAAAUUUUAUAAAACUUUAUAUAAAAUUUAAUUUAAUUGGGGUGAUGGAAAAAGAAUAAAUAUCUUUUUUUUUAAAAAAAAAUUGGUUCCGUUUUUAGCGAUUAAAUGAAAAAAAUACUCUAGGGAUAACAGCGUAAUAAUUUUGGAUAGUUCAUAUAGAUAAAAUAGUUUGCGACCUCGAUGUUGGAUUAGGAUUCUUUUUUGGUGAAGAAGU
This 376-nucleotide ribosomal RNA is filed under the name Ixodes ricinus (castor bean tick). RNAcentral describes it as "partial large subunit ribosomal RNA". The record is from RNAcentral. Lineage: Eukaryota; Metazoa; Arthropoda; Arachnida; Ixodida; Ixodidae.